GGAGGAAGAAGGAAUUCAGCCAUGAGCAGAUGUCUGGGAGGGUCCAAAGAGAGUUCAGCAAGGAAAGCUACAAGACUGGGAAAUGCCUCACAAACCACUCAGACACUGGUCUCGGCUAGAUAUUGAUGGCUUAUUAACAGUCCUUUGUAACCUGAUUGGAUCAGGGCCACAGGUUUAGAACCAUCAAGGAGACAAGUCUCUGAGCUUUCUGGAGUGCUUUCCUGAGAGUGAGAAGACUCAACUUGAAUGUGAGUGUCACCAUCCCAUGAGCCAAGUCUGGGGAAUUAAAAGGAGAAGCGAUCCAAGAGUGGACGAGCAUGUGUGUCUUGGCUUUCUAGCUGUGGACACAGUGUCCCCAGAACAGAUUUGUUUCCCUUGCUGGCUCUGAAGAAACCAAGUCAGAAAAACUCAUCUGGCAAGGAUCUAUGGCUGUGAUGGAGUUGAGCCUGGUCUCCAGCCAACAGCUUGCAAGAAGUGAAGGUAUCAAUCCUUCAGACCCACAGCUGUGAGGAACUGAAUUCUACAUACAGCUUACUUGAGCUUGGAAAUAGAUCAUUUCCAUGGAAGCCUUAAGUGCGUUGUGAGCCCCAUUGGAUACUCCAACUGCAUCUUUGCGAGUUCCUGACAAUGAGCUUAUAGCAAAGUCAUGUCUUAACUCUGGGCCACUGAAAUUGGAACAUAAUAAAUUCAUCAUUCUAAGCUGCUGGACUUGUAGCAACACUCAAUUUAGAAGGACUUACAUUUUCUCUUGGUAAUCUCAAUGCUAAUUAUGGAGUUCCAAGAGGUAGGCCUUCAUGCUAAGACUAUGGAAGCUGUCAGCAAUAAGGUUCUCAACUCCUCUUAUGGUCUAGUCUAUAAUGUAAAGCACACGA
This is a long non-coding RNA of Meriones unguiculatus (Mongolian gerbil), 872 nucleotides long. RefSeq lists it as uncharacterized. The record is from RefSeq and is a predicted model, not a curated record. The transcript has 4 exons. NCBI's taxonomy places the organism in Eukaryota, Metazoa, Chordata, Mammalia, Rodentia, Muridae.